RNAcentral lists this ribosomal RNA (2924 nucleotides) under Escherichia coli. Its description in RNAcentral is "LSU rRNA". It matches the Rfam family "Bacterial large subunit ribosomal RNA". Lineage: Bacteria; Pseudomonadati; Pseudomonadota; Gammaproteobacteria; Enterobacterales; Enterobacteriaceae. The record is from RNAcentral.
GGUUAAGCGACUAAGCGUACACGGUGGAUGCCCUGGCAGUCAGAGGCGAUGAAGGACGUGCUAAUCUGCGAUAAGCGUCGGUAAGGUGAUAUGAACCGUUAUAACCGGCGAUUUCCGAAUGGGGAAACCCAGUGUGUUUCGACACACUAUCAUUAACUGAAUCCAUAGGUUAAUGAGGCGAACCGGGGGAACUGAAACAUCUAAGUACCCCGAGGAAAAGAAAUCAACCGAGAUUCCCCCAGUAGCGGCGAGCGAACGGGGAGCAGCCCAGAGCCUGAAUCAGUGUGUGUGUUAGUGGAAGCGUCUGGAAAGGCGCGCGAUACAGGGUGACAGCCCCGUACACAAAAAUGCACAUGCUGUGAGCUCGAUGAGUAGGGCGGGACACGUGGUAUCCUGUCUGAAUAUGGGGGGACCAUCCUCCAAGGCUAAAUACUCCUGACUGACCGAUAGUGAACCAGUACCGUGAGGGAAAGGCGAAAAGAACCCCGGCGAGGGGAGUGAAAAAGAACCUGAAACCGUGUACGUACAAGCAGUGGGAGCACGCUUAGGCGUGUGACUGCGUACCUUUUGUAUAAUGGGUCAGCGACUUAUAUUCUGUAGCAAGGUUAACCGAAUAGGGGAGCCGAAGGGAAACCGAGUCUUAACUGGGCGUUAAGUUGCAGGGUAUAGACCCGAAACCCGGUGAUCUAGCCAUGGGCAGGUUGAAGGUUGGGUAACACUAACUGGAGGACCGAACCGACUAAUGUUGAAAAAUUAGCGGAUGACUUGUGGCUGGGGGUGAAAGGCCAAUCAAACCGGGAGAUAGCUGGUUCUCCCCGAAAGCUAUUUAGGUAGCGCCUCGUGAAUUCAUCUCCGGGGGUAGAGCACUGUUUCGGCAAGGGGGUCAUCCCGACUUACCAACCCGAUGCAAACUGCGAAUACCGGAGAAUGUUAUCACGGGAGACACACGGCGGGUGCUAACGUCCGUCGUGAAGAGGGAAACAACCCAGACCGCCAGCUAAGGUCCCAAAGUCAUGGUUAAGUGGGAAACGAUGUGGGAAGGCCCAGACAGCCAGGAUGUUGGCUUAGAAGCAGCCAUCAUUUAAAGAAAGCGUAAUAGCUCACUGGUCGAGUCGGCCUGCGCGGAAGAUGUAACGGGGCUAAACCAUGCACCGAAGCUGCGGCAGCGACGCUUAUGCGUUGUUGGGUAGGGGAGCGUUCUGUAAGCCUGUGAAGGUGUACUGUGAGGUAUGCUGGAGGUAUCAGAAGUGCGAAUGCUGACAUAAGUAACGAUAAAGCGGGUGAAAAGCCCGCUCGCCGGAAGACCAAGGGUUCCUGUCCAACGUUAAUCGGGGCAGGGUGAGUCGACCCCUAAGGCGAGGCCGAAAGGCGUAGUCGAUGGGAAACAGGUUAAUAUUCCUGUACUUGGUGUUACUGCGAAGGGGGGACGGAGAAGGCUAUGUUGGCCGGGCGACGGUUGUCCCGGUUUAAGCGUGUAGGCUGGUUUUCCAGGCAAAUCCGGAAAAUCAAGGCUGAGGCGUGAUGACGAGGCACUACGGUGCUGAAGCAACAAAUGCCCUGCUUCCAGGAAAAGCCUCUAAGCAUCAGGUAACAUCAAAUCGUACCCCAAACCGACACAGGUGGUCAGGUAGAGAAUACCAAGGCGCUUGAGAGAACUCGGGUGAAGGAACUAGGCAAAAUGGUGCCGUAACUUCGGGAGAAGGCACGCUGAUAUGUAGGUGAAGCGACUUGCUCGUGGAGCUGAAAUCAGUCGAAGAUACCAGCUGGCUGCAACUGUUUAUUAAAAACACAGCACUGUGCAAACACGAAAGUGGACGUAUACGGUGUGACGCCUGCCCGGUGCCGGAAGGUUAAUUGAUGGGGUCAGCGCAAGCGAAGCUCUUGAUCGAAGCCCCGGUAAACGGCGGCCGUAACUAUAACGGUCCUAAGGUAGCGAAAUUCCUUGUCGGGUAAGUUCCGACCUGCACGAAUGGCGUAAUGAUGGCCAGGCUGUCUCCACCCGAGACUCAGUGAAAUUGAACUCGCUGUGAAGAUGCAGUGUACCCGCGGCAAGACGGAAAGACCCCGUGAACCUUUACUAUAGCUUGACACUGAACAUUGAGCCUUGAUGUGUAGGAUAGGUGGGAGGCUUUGAAGUGUGGACGCCAGUCUGCAUGGAGCCGACCUUGAAAUACCACCCUUUAAUGUUUGAUGUUCUAACGUUGACCCGUAAUCCGGGUUGCGGACAGUGUCUGGUGGGUAGUUUGACUGGGGCGGUCUCCUCCUAAAGAGUAACGGAGGAGCACGAAGGUUGGCUAAUCCUGGUCGGACAUCAGGAGGUUAGUGCAAUGGCAUAAGCCAGCUUGACUGCGAGCGUGACGGCGCGAGCAGGUGCGAAAGCAGGUCAUAGUGAUCCGGUGGUUCUGAAUGGAAGGGCCAUCGCUCAACGGAUAAAAGGUACUCCGGGGAUAACAGGCUGAUACCGCCCAAGAGUUCAUAUCGACGGCGGUGUUUGGCACCUCGAUGUCGGCUCAUCACAUCCUGGGGCUGAAGUAGGUCCCAAGGGUAUGGCUGUUCGCCAUUUAAAGUGGUACGCGAGCUGGGUUUAGAACGUCGUGAGACAGUUCGGUCCCUAUCUGCCGUGGGCGCUGGAGAACUGAGGGGGGCUGCUCCUAGUACGAGAGGACCGGAGUGGACGCAUCACUGGUGUUCGGGUUGUCAUGCCAAUGGCACUGCCCGGUAGCUAAAUGCGGAAGAGAUAAGUGCUGAAAGCAUCUAAGCACGAAACUUGCCCCGAGAUGAGUUCUCCCUGACCCUUUAAGGGUCCUGAAGGAACGUUGAAGACGACGACGUUGAUAGGCCGGGUGUGUAAGCGCAGCGAUGCGUUGAGCUAACCGGUACUAAUGAACCGUGAGGCUUAACCUUACAACGCCGAAGAUGUUUUG